This 497-nucleotide ribosomal RNA is filed under the name uncultured bacterium. RNAcentral's name for it is "partial 16S ribosomal RNA". It matches the Rfam family "Bacterial small subunit ribosomal RNA", at positions 28 to 507 of the family's 1533-position model. The record is from RNAcentral.
GACGAACGCUGGCGGCGUGCCUAAUACAUGCAAGUCGAACGCUCAAGCGAGGAGUUUGCUCCUGUUGGUUGAGUUGCGAACGGGGGAGUAACGCGGAGGUAACCUGCCUUGUAGCGGGGGAAAACUAUGGGAAACGAUAUCUAAACCCGCAUAACAAUGGAUUACACAUGUCAUUUAUUUGAAAGGGGCAAUUGCUCCACUACAAGAUGGACCCGCGGUGUAUUAGCUAGUAGGUGAGGUAAUGGCUCACCUAGGCGACGAUACAUAGCCGACCUGAGAGGGUGAUCGGCCACACUGGGACUGAGACACGGCCCAGACUCCUACGGGAGGCAGCAGUAGGGAAUCUUCGGCAAUGGGGGCAAGCCUGACCGAGCAACGCCGCGUGAGUGAAGAAGGUUUUCGGAUCGUAAAGCUCUGUUGUAAGGGAAGAACGAGUGUGAGAGUGAAAAGUUGGCACCUUGACGGUACCUUACCAGAAAGGGACGGCUAACUACGUG